GCCUACUUAGCUCAGCUGGUUAGAGCAUCCGUCUCAUACGCGGAAUGUCACUGGUUCAACUCCAGUAGUAGGUA
This 74-nucleotide transfer RNA is filed under the name Prototheca wickerhamii. RNAcentral's name for it is "tRNA-Met". It matches the Rfam family "tRNA". From Rfam's summary of the family: Transfer RNA (tRNA) molecules are approximately 80 nucleotides in length. Their secondary structure includes four short double-helical elements and three loops (D, anti-codon, and T loops). Lineage: Eukaryota; Viridiplantae; Chlorophyta; Trebouxiophyceae; Chlorellales; Chlorellaceae. The record is from RNAcentral.